RNAcentral lists this long non-coding RNA (598 nucleotides) under Sus scrofa (pig). Its description in RNAcentral is "lncRNA (ENSSSCG00025035095.1)". Lineage: Eukaryota; Metazoa; Chordata; Mammalia; Artiodactyla; Suidae. The record is from RNAcentral.
UCAACUCAAAGGCAAUCUGACAUACUAGAAACCGGAUAUUAGCACAGGAAGUUGAAAGCCACGGUUCUGGUGCAAAUCGGCAGAGUUAGGGAAGGCUUGUUUGGAGGUACAUCUGAACAGGAUUUGGAAGAACGAAAAGGAAUAAACCAGACAAAGAAAGAUGGCAAUCUGUCCACGAAGAGUCCAGGAAGGCUGUGGCAUGCGUGUAAAGAGAAAGGUCUCCAAAGGAAAACUCGUGGCUUCUGAGGCCCCCAGGAAGAGAAAAAUCUUCCUUCUGCUGUUUGCACGCUUGGGAUACUGGUAAAGAAGGAAUCUGUUUUCUGAGCACAGAAAUCUUUUGAAUUCUUGCAUCAUCUCCAACUCGAGCAGAACCGAUUCAGGACAGGAAUGACAGAAGUUGGAAGAGAAGCAGGAAACAGGUCAGAUGCAGGACCAGGCUAUUGAGAGCAUCACUCGGAUACCCUCCUUCGGACCCAGCUCCCUUUGGGGAGAAGACAGGGAUACAGUGGGGGAAGCACCAGCACGGCUGCUGGGUGGUGAGGUGGAAGGUAGAUGCUUCCUAUCUGACCACACCCAUCUUCUCUCUGAAUAUAUUUAA